GCCCCCGGCGCCCCCUGCCGUUCCCCCGCCGCCCGCCGCCCGCAGCGGCUCCUGCCGGCCGGAGGGGGGAAGGGAAAUGCCCCGCUUUGGGGUUUUUAGUGGAUAGAAGGGAGUUUUUUGGGGGGGUUUGGGUUAGUUUUGGAGGCGGAGAGCCGGGGGAGAAGGCAAGGCACAGAGGUGUUCCUCUGAGGGGUGAAAACCCUGAGGGGUUUUGGUUUAGGGUGUGAAGUAAUCCUAAGGCAGUGGUACCGCUUUUACUUCACGUUUACAUGAGGAAAGCUGAAGAGAAGGCAGAGGUGCACCAAGAGGCUCCAAAUUAACCAGCCCAGGGAGCUGGGGAUAGCCCAAGGGGGAAGGGAAGCCCAGAGGUCGGAGAGGGGCCUGGGGCUCGGCCCCACAGCCAGCAAGGCCUCGGCCACCCCAGCGAUCGCCAUCCUCGAGAGCAAAGCGGCUGCCAAAAUGGGAGAUUUCUCUUGGGAAAGGUGCUCCAGCACCUCAAAAUGCCUGUCCUUGUUACAGCAGCAUCGUUUUGUGUGAGCCUGGCACUGAUGCAGAACAGGUGAAUGAAACCUCCGGAGAGCCUUAAAGAGCAUUACCAGCUUUAUUCUACAGAAAUCGAGAAGCAGAAAUUUUGCAUUUUGCUCCAGACCAUGGACAGGACUCACUGCUAAAGCUGAGGAGGAAGAACCAAAAAGAUGAGAAACCUCUGCGUUCUUAGAGUCCUGUCACACAGCCCUUUGGAGCAACACUGCUUCUUCCAGACAAGAGGCAAGGAGACACUCCCCAGCUUUCUUCCAGCUAUCCUCCAAGUUCCUAGAAAAAAGAUUGGAACGAUAAUGUGA
Molecule: long non-coding RNA, 842 nt
Filed under: Cairina moschata (Muscovy duck)
Lineage: Eukaryota; Metazoa; Chordata; Aves; Anseriformes; Anatidae
Description: domestica (muscovy Duck (domestic type)) lncRNA (ENSCMMG00000014626.1)
Source: RNAcentral